Molecule: ribosomal RNA, 373 nt
Filed under: uncultured bacterium
Lineage: Bacteria
Description: bacterial SSU rRNA
Rfam family: Bacterial small subunit ribosomal RNA
Source: RNAcentral
ACAUAGGGUGCAAGCGUUGUCCGGAAUUAUUGGGCGUAAAGAGCUCGUAGGUGGUUUGAUACGUCGGGUGUGAAAUUCAGGGGCUCAACCCCUGACCUGCAUUCGAUACGGUCAAGCUAGAGUUUGGUAGGGGAGACUGGAAUUCCUGGUGUAGCGGUGGAAUGCGCAGAUAUCAGGAGGAACACCGAUGGCGAAGGCAGGUCUCUGGGCCAAUACUGACACUGAGGAGCGAAAGCGUGGGGAGCGAACAGGAUUAGAUACCCUGGUAGUCCACGCCGUAAACGGUGGGCGCUAGUUGUGCGAACCUUCCACGGUUUGUGCGACGCAGCUAACGCAUUAAGCGCCCCGCCUGGGGAGUACGAUCGCAAGAUUA